Molecule: non-coding RNA, 1321 nt
Organism: Lactuca sativa (garden lettuce)
Lineage: Eukaryota; Viridiplantae; Streptophyta; Magnoliopsida; Asterales; Asteraceae
Source: RefSeq, a predicted model, not a curated record
UUUUGCUAUUAAAAAAAAAAAGCCGCAUCGCCGGCAUCUUUAAGUUCCCAUCAUUCCUCUUCCCAACACCGGGGAUCUUCUCAACUCCCCCUCCGGUGACCAACUGACAGAUCAACUCUCCUACUCGUAUUCACGGCUCCAUCUACCGCAAUCGCCACCUCUCUCUCUCUCUCACCGGCGAUCUUCCGAUCUCACCAGCCCCACCUCCUCCGCCUCUUGAAGAUUAUCUUAUCAAUGUGCUCUACUUAUGGUCUAUCUAAACAAAUGCACCCAUCAAUGUCAUCUUCAUCAUUAUCUUCUUUUUUGGCUCCGGUAUUUUCUUGUGAAUCGUGGAAUCGUGAUGUUUUUCUCAGUUUUAAAAGAAAUGAUACUCGCAAGACUUUUGUGGAUCAUUUCUACGCAGCUCUUGUACAACAAGGAAUCUACACUUACGAGGAUGAAAAGACAUUUCCUUAAGGUGAACUGAUCGGUCUAUCCCUUAUGAAGGCUAUUCCGUGGAAUCACCGAUUGUCGUCAUCGUAUUCUCUAAAAACUAUGUAGAUUCAUAGUGGUAUCCGGAUGAACUUGCAUAUAUUAUGAAGUGCAAGGAUACAAGUGGGCAGAUUGUUAUCCCCAUCUUUUAAAUUGUCAUCCCAAUAUUUUAUGAUGCGGAUCUUAUAUACUAACGAAAUCAAAAAGAAAAUACAAAAGAAAAUACAGAGAAACAUUUGUCAAACAUGAGUUAGAGAACAAAAACAAAGUUGAAACUUGGAGAAAAGCACUUGUGGAUGCAAGUAACCUCUCUGCAUGAGAACUCAAGCAUGGAUCAAAGUGCAUCAAAGAAAUUGAUAUAAUUUCAACUUACAACCGUAAAUUAACACCCGCGUAGAAUAGAAGCUCGCAACAACAUUUGAAAUGAAAGUUAUUAAUGGUGUGCGUAUGAUUGAUGGUUGAUGUAUUUUCAUAUAGUGAAAUAUCUAGCAAGUUUGAUGGUUGCUGCAUUGUUGAAGGAAUUUUAGACGACUCAAGCAUGUAUCGUUUAGAAAAGUUGUAAGAAAAAAAAAGCCUUUAAACAUUUUGAAACGAAAAUAAAUGGAAAUAAACAGAGUUAAAGCAGGAUGAUGCUUUAUAAUUAAUAGGUUUCACUACAGAAUUGUGUUGCUUGUUCUUAAUGAUAUGGAUCAUAUUGACCAUCACAUAUUUGGUUUGAUGAAUGAAGCCAAUAAUAACCAAAACUAGAGAUAAUCAUUUCUUAAAUGCUUACAAAGUAGACGUGAUAUACACUAUUAGUUUAUUAGAUGACGAGGCUAUUGAGCUCUUUUGCAAGCGGAUAAUUAGUUGC